GACGAACGCUGGCGGCGUGCUUAACACAUGCAAGUCGAACGGAAAGGCCCUAGCUUGGUGGGGUACACGAGUGGCGAACGGGUGAGUAACACGUGGGUGACCUGCCCUGCACUUCGGGAUAACCUCAGGAAACUGGGGCUAAUACCGGAUAGGAGCGCCUCGUGCGGGGGGGGGGGUGGGUAUUUUCGGUGGGGGGGGGUGGACCCGCGUCUUAUCAGCUUGUUGGUGGGGUGGUGGCCUACCAAGGCGUCGACGGGUAGCCGGCCUGAGAGGGUGGGCGGCCACAUUGGGACUGAGACACGGCCCAGACUCCUACGGGAGGCAGCAGUGGGGAAUAUUGCACAAUGGGCGGAAGCCUGAUGCAGCGACGCCGCGUGCGGGAUGACGGCCUUCGGGUUGUAAACUGCUUUCGCCUGUGACGAAGGGUUUGUGACGGUAGUUGGAGAAGAAGCACCGGCUAACUACGUG
RNAcentral lists this ribosomal RNA (468 nucleotides) under uncultured bacterium. Its description in RNAcentral is "partial 16S ribosomal RNA". It matches the Rfam family "Bacterial small subunit ribosomal RNA", at positions 28 to 507 of the family's 1533-position model. The record is from RNAcentral.